This 536-nucleotide ribosomal RNA is filed under the name Ozius tenuidactylus. Its description in RNAcentral is "partial 16S ribosomal RNA". It matches the Rfam family "Bacterial large subunit ribosomal RNA", at positions 1811 to 2603 of the family's 2925-position model. Lineage: Eukaryota; Metazoa; Arthropoda; Malacostraca; Decapoda; Oziidae. The record is from RNAcentral.
AAACAUGUCUAUUUGGAGAUAUAAAUAGUCUGGCCUGCUCACUGACUGGAAUAAUUGUUUAAGAGCCGCGGUAUAUUGACCGUGCAAAGGUAGCAUAAUCAUUAGUUUUUUAAUUGAAAACUUGUAUGAAGGGUCGGACAAAGGGAAAGCUGUCUCUGUUUUAAAAGUUGAAGUUAACUUUUAAGUGAAAAGGCUUAAAUAGUUCAAGGGGACGAUAAGACCCUAUAAAGCUUUAUGUGUUAAUUAAAUUUAAUUGAAUUUGUUAAUAAAGAUUUAGUUUGGUUAUCAUAUUUUGUUGGGGCGAUAUAAGUAAAAUUUUUAUUAACUACUUAAGGUUAAUACAAAGAUGAAUGGGUAGAAUUGUAGUUGAUCCUUCUUAGAGAUUAAAAGACUAAGUUACUUUAGGGAUAACAGCGUGAUUUCUUUUGAGAGCCCAUAUCGAAAAAGAAGUUUGCGACCUCGAUGUUGAAUUAAAAUGUCUGUAUAAUGUAGCCGUUAUAUAAGAAGGUCUGUUCGACCUUUGAAAUUUUACGUGA